GAUGAAGAACGCAGCGAAAUGCGAUAAGUAAUGUGAAUUGCAGAAUUCAGUGAAUCAUCGAAUCUUUGAACGCACAUUGCGCCCGCCAGUAUUCUGGCGGGCAUGCCUGUUCGAGCGUCAUUUCAACCAUCAAGCCCCCCGGCUUGUGUUGGGGACCUGCGGCUGCCGCAGGCCCUGAAAAGCAGUGGCGGGCUCGCUGUCACACCGAGCGUAGUAGAUCUCAUCUCGCUCAGGGCGUGCUGCGGGUUCCGGCCGUUAAACCACCUUCAUAACCCAAGGUUGACCUCGGAUCAGGUAGGAAGACCCGCAGAACUUAAGCAUAUCAAUAAGCGGAGGA
RNAcentral lists this unclassified non-coding RNA (337 nucleotides) under soil metagenome. RNAcentral describes it as "partial contains 5.8S ribosomal RNA, internal transcribed spacer 2, and large subunit ribosomal RNA". The stretch from base 1 to 120 matches the Rfam family "5.8S ribosomal RNA", at positions 35 to 154 of the family's 154-position model. The record is from RNAcentral.